UUGGUUACCUAUGUCACAUUUAAUAUUUACUCUAAUUCUAUUUUUUUUUAAGAUAUAUAAGUAUCACAAUUAUUUAUCAACACAAAUAAACAAAGCAUAGAACUUUUACAACUUAAAGUGAUUAAUAAAUUUCUAUUUGUUGCAAGCUUUGGAGAAAAAUUAUGGCUGAAAUUAUUAAGUUUGCUUAUUUAAUGAUCUUUUUUAUUUCUUUGUUUGUUGUUGUAACUGAUGUUAGUGCAUUUUGGAAAAAAUGCAAAGAGGAUGCUAAUUGUCAAUUCUUUCCUUGUGUACCUCCUUAUGUUCCAAAAUGCGUUGUUCGUACAUGUAAAUGUCUUCCUCCGAAGAAUCCUCUCUAUAUCAAUACUCGUUUCCCCUGCUGACGUUUUUCAGUCUUUUAUGGCCGCCACACAAUAAUAUUGCAAAUGUAGAUAUUUUGCAAAUAUCAGGGGUUUCCAGCGGUUCCACCGAGCCAGUUGCUUUGGUGAGUUGCAGUUUACUGAGAUCUGUGUGGAGUAUGUUUGGUUGACGAAGUUUACCUUUAGCUGAACAAGGGUGCUUAUCGGUGAAAGAUGGUUCUAUAUAUUCUGCUUCAAUUCUGAAAUGCCCCGCUCUGGUUUUCAUUUUUGGUUAGGAGUUGGUGUUGGAGAAGGACGAUAGUGUGUUCUUGUUUGAAUUUCAAACGAUGUUGUUUUUAUAUUUCUUUGUUGUUUAAUAUUUUUUUCUCACCAUUUAUAUGUCUUAUGCUUAUGGUUGAACGUUAUAAUAUACUCCAAGGAGUAUAUUAUAAUAUGCUUAUGGUUGGUGUUGGAGUACUGUAUUUGCUAAUAAAAAAAACUAUAACUUCAAGGAGCGUAGUUAAAUUAAUUAAA
Long non-coding RNA from Trifolium pratense (red clover), 869 nucleotides. RefSeq lists it as uncharacterized. The record is from RefSeq and is a predicted model, not a curated record. NCBI's taxonomy places the organism in Eukaryota, Viridiplantae, Streptophyta, Magnoliopsida, Fabales, Fabaceae. The transcript has 2 exons.